GAUGAACGCUAGCGGCAGGCCUAACACAUGCAAGUCGAACGGUAGCAGAUCUUUCGGGAUGCUGACGAGUGGCGAACGGGUGAGUAAUGUAUAGUUAAUUUGCCUCUUGGAGAGGGAUAACAGUUGGAAACGACUGCUAAUACCUCAUACUCCUCUAUGCUUAAUGUGUAGAGGGAAAUGUUAUUUCGCCAAGAGAUAAGACUAUAUGGUAUCAGGUAGUUGGUGGGGUAAUAGCCUACCAAGCCUAUGACGCCUAGCUGGUCUGAGAGGAUGAUCAGCCACACUGGAACUGAGACACGGUCCAGACUCCUACGGGAGGCAGCAGUGGGGAAUAUUGCACAAUGGAGGAAACUCUGAUGCAGCAACGCCGCGUGGAGGAUGACGCAUUUCGGUGUGUAAACUCCUUUUAUAUGGGAAGAUAAUGACGGUACCAUAUGAAUAAGCACCGGCUAACUCCGUGCCAGCAGCCGACG
RNAcentral lists this ribosomal RNA (473 nucleotides) under uncultured bacterium. RNAcentral's name for it is "bacterial SSU rRNA". It matches the Rfam family "Bacterial small subunit ribosomal RNA", at positions 28 to 519 of the family's 1533-position model. The record is from RNAcentral.